Molecule: unclassified non-coding RNA, 357 nt
Filed under: air metagenome
Description: partial contains small subunit ribosomal RNA, internal transcribed spacer 1, and 5.8S ribosomal RNA
Rfam family: Eukaryotic small subunit ribosomal RNA (bases 1-46)
Source: RNAcentral
AAGUCGUAACAAGGUUUCCGUAGGUGAACCUGCGGAAGGAUCAUUAACGAAUUCAAUCCAGCUUUUCUGGCUGUGCAUUCACUUGCACGCCGGUCGAGUUGGCUCUUCUGAAUUUACACACCUGUGCACCUUCGAUUGACCUCUCCAGUUUCGCGCGAUUUUUUUGCGAGAAAAUUUUUGUCUGCUCUUCGGGGUGGGAUUGACGCGUUGCGGUGAACUUGUGUUCAUAGCUCGCGUUUGGGGAGGACAUUCGUUUUUUUACACCUUUUUUGUAUGUCUUUGAAAAAAUUCAGUCGCUCUGUGAUGGAGUGAUUGUGAAAAUAAAUACAACUUUCAGCAACGGAUCUCUUGGCUCUC